RNAcentral lists this long non-coding RNA (271 nucleotides) under Gossypium barbadense (sea-island cotton). RNAcentral describes it as "long non-coding RNA (GBAR_LNC002158)". The record is from RNAcentral. Lineage: Eukaryota; Viridiplantae; Streptophyta; Magnoliopsida; Malvales; Malvaceae.
CUUGGACAAAGUUCAGAAUUUCUUUCCGGCGAGCGUCCACGUAACUAGCCCCAACAUACUUUCCUUUGAAGGCUGUCUUAAACAGCUCCCAAGUGACACUAUCAGCAGGAGUUCCAUCUCUCACCGUGAGCCACCACUGAUAAGCCUCAUCCCUGAGUAACGAUAUGGCUCCCUUCAGCUUCUGCUCCACAGAGCAGUCCAGAUCAUCCAUAAUCUGCUCUGUGGCUUCUAACCAAUACUCAGCCACAUUCAGAGCUACACCAGAUACGCC